GCAUCACUGCAGUAAGACAUCCUUAUGGUCUCCAGACCUACAACUGGACUCUGAAUCUUCAUCCCACUGAUGUUCAUGAGAGCCCAGUCUCCUCAUCCUGUUUUGCAUGUGGAGCAAUGUACCCUUUGACAUAUGGAAUGAUGUGCAAAUAGCUCUUGGAAAAAGAGAGGAUGGAUGAAGUCAGGCUGUGAAGGACCGCAUCCAGCAGCAUUGUCUGCUAAGCUCAAGUAUCAUGUAACAAUGGAGGAAUGCAGAAAACAUGACUGUGUGCAGUGCUGUGGUGAGAAACUGCCCCACGUUCAUUGGAUCCCAUCAUGUGCUACAGGAGUGAGAAUCCUCAGCAGAUGGUGGUGAUGUAACUUUCUGGAGGUAAAGGCUGCAAGAAACGACCACUUCAUACAUCAAUUUGAUUCACUGAUUACUCACAAAACACUACGUAUAGGCAAGGAAAAGAAUACAAAACAAAAUUGUAUGGACAUCUUGAUGACAGAGUGUUCUGGUUUGCACCAGGAAACGCUGAGAACAACCCAGUACUCUGUAAAGUUUGUCGUAAGCAUGUAAAAAUAUAUGAAUGCCAAUGGAAAUUAUUGACCAAACAAUCUCCUUUUUGGUGGGAAAUAUGGUUUAUCAAUACUUGUACUGACCUGCUUGAAAUACUCCAGGCGGAAUGGGAAAAACAGGCAGAACUCCGAACAAUUUAAAGCGUAUUUAGAACUGGCUGGAAACCAGAAGUCAUCCUGCAGUUUUAUUUACAGAAAAAGCAGUCUGUUUCUUCAGGGAUUCGAUUGGUUUAAGGCCAGGAAGGACCAUGAGAACAUCUACUUUGAUGUUUUGUUUAAUGAAAGGCCAGCUACCCCCUAUACUUU
Molecule: long non-coding RNA, 866 nt
Organism: Lagopus leucura (white-tailed ptarmigan)
Lineage: Eukaryota; Metazoa; Chordata; Aves; Galliformes; Phasianidae
Exons: 3
Source: RefSeq, a predicted model, not a curated record